Molecule: long non-coding RNA, 873 nt
Filed under: Struthio camelus australis
Lineage: Eukaryota; Metazoa; Chordata; Aves; Struthioniformes; Struthionidae
Description: lncRNA (ENSSCUG00000001514.1)
Source: RNAcentral
UUACGGGCGGUCACAGCCCCAGGGCCCCAAGAAGAACUUCAGGAACGCCUCGUCGCCCACCAUCGAAGACAGGGCGCUGCCCGGCGCCUAUUCCUGCGUGUACCUGUCGUACAGCAGCCAGGGCUUGACUUCGUCCCUCGAGAGCCCCCCGGCCCUCUUCCCGCCGCCGUGGGACCACCUCCCCCCCGGCCCCGGGGUGCAGGUACCCAAGGACAACGGGACCGCCGGGGACAGCUGCUCGUCGACUCCAGGCUGCUCCUCGACGGGCACCAGAGGAGGUGAGGGGCCACCACGGAGACCUCCCGUCCCCUCCCCGGAGAGGUCCCCCGUGACGGCCGGGCGCCCCCCCCAGGGCCAGGCAGACCGACCCCNNNNNNNNNNNNNNNNNNNNNNNNNNNNNNNCGCUGCCGCCCUUGGUUUCCUCCUGCCCCGCUGCUGCUGGUAGCGGCGAGACUUCUGCGCUCGCCGCCUGUCGACCCGCCAUCACCACCCGGCCACGCGUCUACGGCUUAGCGAGAAACACCGACCGGCAGCGGCUUUCAGAGGUGCUCAGGAAACACACGGCUCCAACCGGACCCUCAGCUUUCUCACAUAUGUUAAUAUAAUAACCCAUUGCAUAUAUAUAUUCUUUAUACAAUAACCUGUUGCAUAGGUAUAUCUGAUACACAGUAACCCAUUGCAUAGGUAUACGGUAUCUAUAUUAACCUGUUGCAAAGUAUUAGCCUGAAAAAGAGGUACUGGAGCCUGCAAGGACGGGGUGGCAAGCCCUGGAUCGCUCCAUGCCCUGUGCUGCGGAGCCGCAGCGAGGGCUGCGAGCAGGGCGAGCUGUCUGCUUCCAAUAAACCUGCUGAGCAAAGAAAAGAGACUGGAUUG